GCGAGCGUAGUCUAGUGGUUAUGAUGUCUGCUUUACAUCCUCCAAGAUCUAAAGCGCAGAAGGUCGGGAGUUCGAUCCUCCCCGCUCGUA
RNAcentral lists this transfer RNA (90 nucleotides) under Parastagonospora nodorum SN15. Its description in RNAcentral is "Phaeosphaeria nodorum SN15 tRNA-Val for anticodon UAC". It matches the Rfam family "tRNA". Rfam says of the family: Transfer RNA (tRNA) molecules are approximately 80 nucleotides in length. Lineage: Eukaryota; Fungi; Ascomycota; Dothideomycetes; Pleosporales; Phaeosphaeriaceae. The record is from Rfam by way of RNAcentral.